UGUUGAAACAUUCAUUCCUUUGUACUAUUAAAAAUUGAUGUGACUGAUAAAAAAAUCAAACAAUAACAUGUGGCAUGUCACGAGCAUCUCUUGUUAACGUACAAAGACUAGUUUUUAAUAGCAGAAUGGAUGUAAUUUAAUA
Molecule: non-coding RNA, 142 nt
Organism: Gossypium raimondii (Peruvian cotton)
Lineage: Eukaryota; Viridiplantae; Streptophyta; Magnoliopsida; Malvales; Malvaceae
Source: Rfam